AGGACGAACGCUGGCGGCGUGCUUAACACAUGCAAGUCGAGCGGUAAGGCUCUUUCGGGAGUACACGAGCGGCGAACGGGUGAGUAACACGUGAGCAAUCUGCCCUUCACUUUGGGAUAACCUCCGGAAACGGUGGCUAAUACCGAAUAUGACCACUUCACGCAUGUGAUGGUGGUGGAAAGUUCUGGCGGUGGAGGAUGAGCUCGCGGCCUAUCAGCUUGUUGGUGAGGUAAUGGCUCACCAAGGCUUCGACGGGUAGCCGGCCUGAGAGGGUGACCGGCCACACUGGGACUGAGACACGGCCCAGACUCCUACGGGAGGCAGCAGUGGGGAAUAUUGGACAAUGGGCGAAAGCCUGAUCCAGCAACGCCGCGUGAGGGAUGACGGCCUUCGGGUUGUAAACCUCUUUCAGCGGGGACGAAGCGAAAGUGACGGUACCCGCAGAAGAAGGACCGGCCAACUACGUGCCAGCAGCCGCGGUAAUACGUAGGGUCCGAGCGUUGUCCGGAAUUAUUGGGCGUAAAGGGCUCGUAGGCGGUUUGUCGCGUCGUCCGUGAAAACCCACAGCUCAACUGUGGGCUUGCGGUCGAUACGGGCAGACUAGAGUGAUGUAGGGGAGACUGGAAUUCCUGGUGUAGCGGUGAAAUGCGCAGAUAUCAGAGGAACACCGAUGGCGAAAGCAGGUCUCUGGGCAUUAACUGACGCUGAGGAGCGAAAGCAUGGGGAGCGAACAGGAUUAGAUACCCUGGUAGUCCAUGCCGUAAACGUUGGGCACUAGUGUGGGGACAUUCCACGUUUUCCGCGCCGUAGCUACGCAUUAAGUGCCCCGCCUGGGGAGUACG
This 842-nucleotide ribosomal RNA is filed under the name uncultured bacterium. RNAcentral's name for it is "bacterial SSU rRNA". It matches the Rfam family "Bacterial small subunit ribosomal RNA", at positions 26 to 884 of the family's 1533-position model. The record is from RNAcentral.